This 472-nucleotide ribosomal RNA is filed under the name uncultured bacterium. RNAcentral describes it as "bacterial SSU rRNA". It matches the Rfam family "Bacterial small subunit ribosomal RNA", at positions 329 to 793 of the family's 1533-position model. The record is from RNAcentral.
CUACGCACUCCUACGGGAGGCAGCAGUGGGGAAUAUUGCACAAUGGGCGCAAGCCUGAUGCAGCCAUGCCGCGUGUAUGAAGAAGGCCUUCGGGUUGUAAAGUACUUUCAGCAGUGAGGAAGGUGGGUAUGUUAAUAGCAUACUCAUUUGACGUUAGCUGCAGAAGAAGCACCGGCUAACUCCGUGCCAGCAGCCGCGGUAAUACGGAGGGUGCGAGCGUUAAUCGGAAUUACUGGGCGUAAAGCGCAUGCAGGUGGUUUGUUAAGUCAGAUGUGAAAGCCCGGGGCUCAACCUCGGAAUUGCAUUUGAAACUGGACAAACUAGAGUACUGUAGAGGGGGUAGAAUUUCAGGUGUAGCGGUGAAAUGCGUAGAGAUCUGAAGGAAUACCGGUGGCGAAGGCGGCCCCCUGGACAGAUACUGACACUCAGAUGCGAAAGCGUGGGGAGCAAACAGGAUUAGAUACCCUGGUAG